This 1547-nucleotide ribosomal RNA is filed under the name Salmonella enterica subsp. enterica serovar Tallahassee. RNAcentral's name for it is "partial 23S ribosomal RNA". It matches the Rfam family "Bacterial large subunit ribosomal RNA", at positions 1273 to 2803 of the family's 2925-position model. The record is from RNAcentral. Lineage: Bacteria; Pseudomonadati; Pseudomonadota; Gammaproteobacteria; Enterobacterales; Enterobacteriaceae.
CUGGAGGUAUCAGAAGUGCGAAUGCUGACAUAAGUAACGAUAAAGCGGGUGAAAAGCCCGCUCGCCGGAAGACCAAGGGUUCCUGUCCAACGUUAAUCGGGGCAGGGUGAGUCGACCCCUAAGGCGAGGCCGAAAGGCGUAGUCGAUGGGAAACGGGUUAAUAUUCCCGUACUUGGUGUUACUGCGAAGGGGGGACGGAGAAGGCUAUGUUGGCCGGGCGACGGUUGUCCCGGUUUAAGCGUGUAGGUGUGUGUUCCAGGUAAAUCCGGUUCACUUUAACACUGAGGCGUGAUGACGAGGCACUACGGUGCUGAAGCAACAAAUGCCCUGCUUCCAGGAAAAGCCUCUAAGCAUCAGGUAACAUCAAAUCGUACCCCAAACCGACACAGGUGGUCAGGUAGAGAAUACCAAGGCGCUUGAGAGAACUCGGGUGAAGGAACUAGGCAAAAUGGUGCCGUAACUUCGGGAGAAGGCACGCUGACGCGUAGGUGAAGUGAUUUACUCACGGAGCUGAAGUCAGUCGAAGAUACCAGCUGGCUGCAACUGUUUAUUAAAAACACAGCACUGUGCAAACACGAAAGUGGACGUAUACGGUGUGACGCCUGCCCGGUGCCGGAAGGUUAAUUGAUGGGGUCAGCGCAAGCGAAGCUCCUGAUCGAAGCCCCGGUAAACGGCGGCCGUAACUAUAACGGUCCUAAGGUAGCGAAAUUCCUUGUCGGGUAAGUUCCGACCUGCACGAAUGGCGUAAUGAUGGCCAGGCUGUCUCCACCCGAGACUCAGUGAAAUUGAACUCGCUGUGAAGAUGCAGUGUACCCGCGGCAAGACGGAAAGACCCCGUGAACCUUUACUAUAGCUUGACACUGAACAUUGAGCCUUGAUGUGUAGGAUAGGUGGGAGGCUUUGAAGUGUGGACGCCAGUCUGCAUGGAGCCGACCUUGAAAUACCACCCUUUAAUGUUUGAUGUUCUAACGUGGACCCGUGAUCCGGGUUGCGGACAGUGUCUGGUGGGUAGUUUGACUGGGGCGGUCUCCUCCUAAAGAGUAACGGAGGAGCACGAAGGUUGGCUAAUCCUGGUCGGACAUCAGGAGGUUAGUGCAAUGGCAUAAGCCAGCUUGACUGCGAGCGUGACGGCGCGAGCAGGUGCGAAAGCAGGUCAUAGUGAUCCGGUGGUUCUGAAUGGAAGGGCCAUCGCUCAACGGAUAAAAGGUACUCCGGGGAUAACAGGCUGAUACCGCCCAAGAGUUCAUAUCGACGGCGGUGUUUGGCACCUCGAUGUCGGCUCAUCACAUCCUGGGGCUGAAGUAGGUCCCAAGGGUAUGGCUGUUCGCCAUUUAAAGUGGUACGCGAGCUGGGUUUAGAACGUCGUGAGACAGUUCGGUCCCUAUCUGCCGUGGGCGCUGGAGAACUGAGGGGGGCUGCUCCUAGUACGAGAGGACCGGAGUGGACGCAUCACUGGUGUUCGGGUUGUCAUGCCAAUGGCACUGCCCGGUAGCUAAAUGCGGAAGAGAUAAGUGCUGAAAGCAUCUAAGCACGAAACUUGCCCCGAG